UGGGGGAAUAUUGCACAAUGGGGGGAAACCCUGAUGCAGCGACGCCGCGUGAGUGAAGAAGUAUUUCGGUAUGUAAAGCUCUAUCAGCAGGGAAGAAGAUGACGGUACCUGACUAAGAAGCACCGGCUAAAUACGUGCCAGCAGCCGCGGUAAUACGUAUGGUGCAAGCGUUAUCCGGAUUUACUGGAUGUAAAGGGAGCGUAGGUGGCAAGGCAAGCCAGAAGUGAAGACCCGGGGCUCAACCGCGGGAUUGCUUUUGGAACUGUCAUGCUGGAGUGCAGGAGGGUGAGCGGAG
RNAcentral lists this ribosomal RNA (295 nucleotides) under uncultured Lachnospiraceae bacterium. Its description in RNAcentral is "partial 16S ribosomal RNA". It matches the Rfam family "Bacterial small subunit ribosomal RNA", at positions 354 to 666 of the family's 1533-position model. The record is from RNAcentral. Lineage: Bacteria; Bacillati; Bacillota; Clostridia; Lachnospirales; Lachnospiraceae.